This 482-nucleotide ribosomal RNA is filed under the name uncultured bacterium. Its description in RNAcentral is "partial 16S ribosomal RNA". It matches the Rfam family "Bacterial small subunit ribosomal RNA", at positions 29 to 507 of the family's 1533-position model. The record is from RNAcentral.
AUUGAACGCUGGCGGCAUGCCUUACACAUGCAAGUCGAACGGUAACGGGCCUUCGGGUGCCGACGAGUGGCGAACGGGUGAGUAAUACAUCGGAACGUGCCCGAUCGUGGGGGAUAACGAGGCGAAAGCUUUGCUAAUACCGCAUACGAUCUACGGAUGAAAGCAGGGGACCGCAAGGCCUUGCGCGGACGGAGCGGCCGAUGGCAGAUGAGGUAGUUGGUGGGAUAAAAGCUUACCAAGCCGACGAUCUGUAGCUGGUCUGAGAGGAUGAUCAGCCACAGUGGGACGGAGACGCGGCCCAGCCUCCUACGGGAGGCAGCAGUGGGAAUUUUGGGACAAGGGGCGCAAGCUUGACCCAGCCAGGCCGCGGGAAGGAGGAAGGCUUUGGGGUGUUAAAGUGUUUUUGUAGGGAAGGAAAACCUUUCUUUUAAUACAGGGGGGUCAUGACGGUACCGAAAAAAAAAGCCCCGGCUAACUACGUG